GAUGAACGCUGGCGGCGUGCUUAACACAUGCAAGUCGAACGAUGAAGCCCAGCUUGCUGGGUGGAUUAGUGGCGAACGGGUGAGUAACACGUGAGUAACCUGCCCUUGACUCUGGGAUAAGCCUGGGAAACUGGGUCUAAUACUGGAUAUGACUUCUCAUCGCAUGGUGGGGGGUGGAAAGAUUUAUUGGUCUUGGAUGGACUCGCGGCCUAUCAGCUUGUUGGUGAGGUAAUGGCUCACCAAGGCGACGACGGGUAGCCGGCCUGAGAGGGUGACCGGCCACACUGGGACUGAGACACGGCCCAGACUCCUACGGGAGGCAGCAGUGGGAAUAUUGCACAAUGGGCGCAAGCCUGAUGCAGCGACGCCGCGUGAGGGAUGACGGCCUUCGGGUUGUAAACCUCUUUCAGUAGGGAAGAAGCGAGAGUGACGGUACCUGCAGAAGAAGCGCCGGCUAACUACGUG
This 465-nucleotide ribosomal RNA is filed under the name uncultured bacterium. Its description in RNAcentral is "partial 16S ribosomal RNA". It matches the Rfam family "Bacterial small subunit ribosomal RNA", at positions 28 to 507 of the family's 1533-position model. The record is from RNAcentral.